RNAcentral lists this ribosomal RNA (253 nucleotides) under uncultured bacterium. Its description in RNAcentral is "partial 16S ribosomal RNA". It matches the Rfam family "Bacterial small subunit ribosomal RNA", at positions 524 to 776 of the family's 1533-position model. The record is from RNAcentral.
UACAGAGACUGCAAGCGUUAUUCGGAUUCACUGGGCGUAAAGGGUGCGCAGGCGGCCGUGCGUGUGAGGCGUGAAAGCCCGGGGCUUAACCCCGGAAUUGCACCUCAAACUACAUGGCUAGAGCAUUGGAGAGGGUAGCGGAAUUCACGGUGUAGCAGUGAAAUGCGUAGAUAUCGUGAGGAACACCAGAGGCGAAGGCGGCUACCUGGACAAUUGCUGACACUCAGGCACGAAAGCGUGGGGAGCAAAAGGG